UGAGGAAUAUUGGUCAAUGGGCGAGAGCCUGAACCAGCCAAGUCGCGUUGAAGGAAGACUGCCUUAUGGGUUGUAAACUUCUUUUAUACAGGAAUAAAAGGCUUACGUGUAGGCCAUUGCAAGUACUGUAUGAAUAAGCAUCGGCUAACUCCGUGCCAGCAGCCGCGGUAAUACGGAGGAUAGCGAGCGUUAUCCGGAUUUAUUGGGUUUAAAGGGUGCGCAGGCGGGCUUUUAAGUCAGCGGUGAAAUCUGGACGCUUAACGUCCAAACUGCCGUUGAAACUGGGAGUCUUGAGUAUGGAUGAAGUAGGCGGAAUUCGUUGUGUAGCGGUGACAUGCAUAGAUAUAACGAGGAACUCCGAUUGCGUAGGCAGCUUACUAAGCCAUAAACUGACGCUCAUGCACGAAAGCGUGGGGGAUCAAAACAGGAUUAAGAUACCCUGGUAGUCCACGCCGUAAAACGAUGAUUACUAGUUGUAUGCGAUAUGAAUAGUAUGUGACUAAGCGAAAAGCGAAUAAAGUAAUCCACCUGGGGGAGUACGCCGGCAACGGUGAAACUUAAAGGAAUUGACGGGGUCAUAGCUGUUUCCU
Molecule: ribosomal RNA, 590 nt
Filed under: uncultured bacterium
Lineage: Bacteria
Description: partial 16S ribosomal RNA
Rfam family: Bacterial small subunit ribosomal RNA
Source: RNAcentral